RNAcentral lists this long non-coding RNA (399 nucleotides) under Monodelphis domestica (gray short-tailed opossum). RNAcentral's name for it is "lncRNA (ENSMODG00000040199.1)". The record is from RNAcentral. Lineage: Eukaryota; Metazoa; Chordata; Mammalia; Didelphimorphia; Didelphidae.
UCAGCUGCAUUGGAUGGCCGUGUUGUCCUUUGUGCUCCAACACGCCCUGAGCACUCCACAGUGCUUUGCUGCAUCACCAUCUCAGCUGUUGAAACUUCUUAUUGGUUUCUUCCAUCUGUUCCACCGAAGCAGUCUUCACAUGCUGGCCUUCCAAUGAAUUAAGUCAUUGCUGUCCAAACAAGACCAGAAGGACUAGCAAUAUUGAUGUUACUACUGUUUCAGAUCCAGAAAUGAGAGAUGCUGGUACACUUCUUGGCAAAGAAAAAGUCCAUCUCUUUCUCCUGCUGUGUCAUACAAUUCUACACAUUCUUAUCCUUUGGCAUUGCAGAGUGCUAUAUCCUAUCAGUGAUGGCCUAUGACCGCUAUGUUGCCAUUCGAGACCCUUUAAGAAUCUUCUGA